CACUUAAAAUGCAGAGGAUCCUCCUCUAUAAACAAACAAAUUUUUAGGUCGCCAUUAUAAAAGGUGAAAGAAGACACUUAGGAAGAAAAUUAGCCUGGAGCUAUUUUUUGUUUCACAAACAAAUUCAGCAAAGGGAUCAAAACCAUUUAUUUAUUUAUUUUUUAUGUCAUAGUAAUUUAAUUGUACUUUCCUUUCCCUAAAAUACAAAAAGGAGUACACAAUGAUUGCAAUAGGAAAAAUGUUACAAAAACUUAAGGAUCAAAUUGCUUCUAAAUUUAAUUUGAUUGAUUUCUGAAUAAGAAAUAUGAAUUUAGAAAUGACAUUCUUUCUAGAGAGUAUUAUAAACAACCACAAUAACAAGAAAGGAAAACUAUUGUUUUAAAGUAUGUUUGAAUGAAUAAAUGUUUUGCAGAUCACUAAUACUCAGUAACAUUCGGGAGUUCAGGGGAUGAUCUGGUUUGUAUUACACAUAUUUAUACUUUAAAAUGCCUUGUGAAUUAAUUCAAGUUUUACUACAAACAGAUGCUAAGAAAUAUGAAAAUAUGGAGAGUUUUGCUUUAUGAAGAUCAUCAUUAUCUAAGGGAUACAAUUGACCAGAUUUUGAGAAACAGAUUUGACUUUUGUUUUUCCAGAGAGCGCAGUCAGAUGAACUGGAAAAAAUUGAAAAGCAUGGCCGAUCCUCCAAAGACAAGGAAAAUGCCAAGUCUCUGGACAAACCUGAACAGACAAUAGCAGAAGCCUUCUGUCAUAUAUUGUUUCAUAUUAUCUUUGAAAUUUUGAUGAGGAUGCUGGAAAAGAACAGUGUGUCUUUCCAAUGCCAGAACUGCAGGACCUUUUUCAGGCCUCACAGAUGAAGUUUGAAGAUUUUCAAAAAGAUCUCAGAAAACUGAAGAAAGACUUAAAAAGCCAAGAGCUUGUGCUCCAUGAUACUUAUCGUGUCACCAUUGGACCCAGAUUAUGUCAUUGUUAAAAGGUAUUAAAUUUCACCUGUAAUUGUGAAAAUGGCAAGUUCUCACAGGACCUGGAACUAACUGAAAGUGUUAAGCAACCAUAGAUAUUUGACUUCAGAAGGAUAAGCAGCCUAGUGCCACUGAAUACUAUUUCCUCUUGUGUUUUCUUGAGUAAUGUGGUAGCUACAGAAGACUAAAUAUUGAAGGACCAUCUUAACAGUUUUUAAUUGCCUCAGAAGGUUAAGGAGAUGACUUUAACCAUGAGGGUUACACUUCAUAUAGAGGAAAGAGGAAAUUGAAACUCCCAUAUGCUCCAUUACCAACUUCUAACAUUUGAUAGCUCAGUAUCUCUCCCACAGGUUGUAGAAAUUUGAUCCACAGAAAUGAGAAAGUUCAUGACCAAAUGAAUAUAAAAACUGCUGGGGUUAAGUUAAAUUUUAAGGAAUCCACAGUAUUCUCCAAAAGAGCAUUUGCAAUAGUUCUCCAAUUUAUUUGACCACAGAGCACUUUCUUCACAGAAUGUGUGGUGGAUUCUAUGGUUGGUAGAACACAUUUGAACACAUUUUGAGGAAUGUGGUCCUGGUGCUAUGUUAAUAACAGAAGCAUGCACUUGCCUCUGAGGAGCUUGCAGUGAAGGUGGGGUAAUGAAACUACAGUUUGUGAAGUAAUGUAAUUAUAUGUUACUGUUCUUAUAAAAUGAGAUUAGCUUGAAGAGCUAUUUAUCAGGCUGUCAAACUCAGAAUUAAAAAUGACAAAUAAUUUACUUCAUGUUUUGCUUUUCAAAAAUUCAAGUAUUUUAACAGAAAAAUAAGGUGUCUUAGGACAUGAGGAAGGAAAUCUUGUGAAACAAAAUUUAAAUCUAAUUUCUGAGAAAUAAAGAAGUAUCAGGAGGGUUUCAAGAUGGCGGACUAGGGGGGC
Sciurus carolinensis (gray squirrel) is the source of this 1868-nucleotide long non-coding RNA. RefSeq lists it as uncharacterized. Lineage: Eukaryota; Metazoa; Chordata; Mammalia; Rodentia; Sciuridae. The transcript is spliced from 5 exons. The record is from RefSeq and is a predicted model, not a curated record.